RNAcentral lists this ribosomal RNA (1244 nucleotides) under Triticum aestivum (bread wheat). RNAcentral's name for it is "partial small subunit ribosomal RNA". The record is from RNAcentral. Lineage: Eukaryota; Viridiplantae; Streptophyta; Magnoliopsida; Poales; Poaceae.
UACUCGGACCGGUGGCUCAACCUAAAGGCCCCAAAAAAAAAAGACUCAAAGCAAAAAAAGAAUCGCCUUAUGAUCAUCAGGCAUGAGGAGCGGCGAUGCUGGGACUGGCGCGGCGGCGGCGGCGGCGGCGGCAGCGGCGGAGUUGAAACUGCCGCUCGUCGGCGCAGCGUCGCCAGACUCGUUCCCAUGGUGGUGGGCCCGGCUCGAGGCCUGUACCGCCGCCCCCGCACCCGGCGCGAGUCCAGCCAGCACUUCGGGACGUAGCGGCGGAGGGAGUAUCCGGAGUGGCAGAGGCUGGCGAUGAAGAGCCAGCGGCGGCAGGCUCCGCGGAGGUACGUGGGAUGGAAGCUCCCGUCCUGUCCACUUAUGCGCGACCACAUCGCCGAUACGGAGCUCGCGAUACUGAAGAGGGCGCCGCUGCAGCGUGGAAGCACAUUCGAGCGAGCGGCGGGGGCGGCGGCUGCGGGGCCGGCCUGACGAAGGUCCGGCAAGGGACUACGAAGGUCACCCAGUACCCACACCACCACGUCUAUAUAUGGCCUAGAACUAAGAAAAAUAGAAGAUCUUUACCGCCUAGAACUAAGAACCACGACGACAUAUAUACACACAUACGUCCUGCGGCCACCUGGUGGUCUCCUUCCGCUAGUUCUCCCACUAACCCGACGGGCCGCUGACCUAGUCGCAGGGCCUCUGCUUCCUCUAGGCCUUCUAUGGCCUCCCGGUGACGACCCAGCUUCCCCUGUUACCGUCGCAGUCGGCCCUGAGCUCUUGGAUGCCGGGACACGGCGAACCAGACCACGUCCCCUCCCACUGCGUACACCACACCGGCGGGGCAUUCUAUCCGGCACAGCUGUUUUCCCAUGGCCUUCCUUCCCAGUACGGCGUCGCCUUAGAGAUCGGAGGGGUAGAAGGAAGGGGCCAACGAAACAGGGUGUCAAAACAAACAAGAGUGUCCUCUAAGUAGUACAUUGUUACAUUGUAGUCGCCGUCCUCCUCCGGUAAGCGACGAGGCGGCAGCGGGCUCACAUCCGUGUUGUCAUCUCAAAGAAGAAGACAUUCGAAAUGGCCGACAUCCUUGAGUAGUAACAUUCCCCUUCGUCUCGAAAACCAUCCUCGGACGAUCCGAUCCUCGACAACGGUGAGUUAAACAGACACCUAGAUACACAAAAGCCACCAAUUCUAGGCGAAGACUACUUAGUGACAACGACACUACUACAUGCUUGCAAAACUUAGGUGUUCGGCUA